Molecule: transfer RNA, 64 nt
Filed under: Glaresis sp. GLA01
Lineage: Eukaryota; Metazoa; Arthropoda; Insecta; Coleoptera; Glaresidae
Description: tRNA-Trp
Source: RNAcentral
AAGGAUUUAAGUUAAUUAAACUAAUAGCCUUCAAAGCUAUCAUUAAAAUUUAUUUUAAGCCUUA